CCGGGGUGAGUAUUACAUCAGGUACUGGUGUGCUUUACAUGGGACUUUUAAGAGGACCCUCACAACUAUCAGUACUUAUGUCAUACUCUCUUCGU
Anopheles darlingi is the source of this 95-nucleotide microRNA precursor. It matches the Rfam family "mir-12 microRNA precursor family". The record is from Rfam. NCBI's taxonomy places the organism in Eukaryota, Metazoa, Arthropoda, Insecta, Diptera, Culicidae.